RNAcentral lists this long non-coding RNA (1009 nucleotides) under Sus scrofa (pig). Its description in RNAcentral is "lncRNA (ENSSSCG00060048103.1)". Lineage: Eukaryota; Metazoa; Chordata; Mammalia; Artiodactyla; Suidae. The record is from RNAcentral.
UGAACUUGUAGUAACCAGGCUGUGCAUUUGAGGUAGAGAGAGGUGAACAAGGGAGCUGGAAUCUGUCCCAAGUUCGUCUUGCAGCUGAAGGGAGAGUUGUGGCCUCGGAAGGAGUUUAUGUUUAUCAGUAUAUUUUAGAAGCAUUUCGGUAAUUCUAAUGCAUCAGUAAAGCCGUGAACUAUAGGUCUGUAUCAACUACAGGCAAGAAACUUAAUCCUUUUCUCCUUAUCUGUUUUAUAUAAUUUGAUAGAAAAUUACUGGAUCUAAUUUACGUUGAAAAUUCAUACAUCUCUCUCAAACUCUGGCAGUGAAGAGCGGGACAAUGCUUUUCACCUUAAUAAAGUGAUAGAGUAUAAGGAUCCUAGAAAGGUGAAUGCUAGUGCUGUUUAUUGCACUUUUUUUUUUCUUCUUCAGAUCUAAGGCUUUGCCUGAAUAAGGAGGAUGUGGAAAGAUAGCAUCCCGAUUCUCUUUUAACUUCCACCGUCGCAUCCUGCUUGUUCCUAUAUGCUCUUAUGCCUGCAGGAUUGGAGAAUCCAUGUGGACCAAAUGCCCCAGCACAAAAAUGGAAUUGAAACUGCUCUAAAGGAGACCAAGUUAUGCGAUGACGCUGGGCUUGAACUUGGGACAUCGGUACAGACGACUCCAGAACAUGAUUUAGCACGACAUUCUUCAUUAACUUGAAGGGUCAUUAACCCUUGAAGGGUCAUCAUGAAUCUUCCUGGAAAGCAAAUGAUAUUUUUCCUUGGCAUCUUACCUGGGUGCCCAUGGACGGACCUUCAUCUCAUAGCAUUUCCCACGUUAGAUUUAUGGCUCCACUUGAAAGCCUGAUUCUUUGGUGGAAGGAACAUUAACACAAGUGCUUCAAUUAAAAAGACAAGCAUGGGGUUCCUGCUGUGGCCCACCAGGAUCUGAGGUGUCUCUAUAGCACCAGGAUGCAGGUUUGAUCCCUGGCUGACACAGUGGCUUAAAGGGUCUGAUAUUGCCUCAGUGCUGCAGGUCACUGUGGCUU